Molecule: long non-coding RNA, 348 nt
Organism: Brienomyrus brachyistius
Lineage: Eukaryota; Metazoa; Chordata; Actinopteri; Osteoglossiformes; Mormyridae
Exons: 3
Source: RefSeq, a predicted model, not a curated record
UCAUUGUUGGGUAUGGGUCAGAACUGGGAACAGGUCACGUUGUCACUGUUGGGUAUGCGUCAGAACUGGGAACAGGUCACGUUGUCACUGUUGGGUAUGCGUCAGAACUGGGAACAGGUCACGUUGUCACUGUUGGGUAUGCGUCAGAACUGGGAACAGGUCACGUUGUCACUGUUGGGUAUGCGUCAGAACUGGGAACAGGUCACGUUGUCACUGUUGGGUAUGCGUCAGAACUGGGAACAGGUCACGUUGUCACUGUUGGGUAUGGGUCAGAACUGGGAACAGAUCACGUUCUCGCUCAUGCGUGUGGGUCGGAACUGGAUACAGAUCACGUUCUCACUGUUGGCU